GUGGGGAAUCUUAGACAAUGGGGGAAACCCUGAUCUAGCCAUGCCGCGUGAGCGAUGAAGGCCUUAGGGUUGUAAAGCUCUUUCAGAGGGGAAGAUAAUGACGGUACCCUCAGAAGAAGCCCCGGCUAACUCCGUGCCAGCAGCCGCGGUAAUACGGAGGGGGCUAGCGUUGUUCGGAAUUACUGGGCGUAAAGCGCACGUAGGCGGACCAGAAAGUCAGGGGUGAAAUCCCGGGGCUCAACCCCGGAACUGCCUUUGAAACUCCUGGUCUUGAGGUCGAGAGAGGUGAGUGGAAUUCCGAGUGUAGAGGUGAAAUUCGUAGAUAUUCGGAGGAACACCAGUGGCGAAGGCGGCUCACUGGCUCGAUACUGACGCUGAGGUGCGAAAGCGUGGGGAGCAAACAGGAUUAGAUACCCCUGUAGUCC
Molecule: ribosomal RNA, 425 nt
Filed under: uncultured bacterium
Lineage: Bacteria
Description: partial 16S ribosomal RNA
Rfam family: Bacterial small subunit ribosomal RNA
Source: RNAcentral